UACGUAGGGUGCGAGCGUUAAUCGGAAUUACUGGGCGUAAAGCGUGCGCAGGCGGUUUUUUAAGCCAGAUGUGAAAUCCCCGGGCUUAACCUGGGAACUGCAUUUGGAACUGGAAGACUAGAGUACGGCAGAGGGGGGUGGAAUUCCACGUGUAGCAGUGAAAUGCGUAGAUAUGUGGAGGAACAUCAGUGGCGAAGGCGGCUUCCUGGCUUAAAACUGACACUGUGGCGCGAAAGCGUGGGUAGCAAACAGG
RNAcentral lists this ribosomal RNA (253 nucleotides) under uncultured bacterium. RNAcentral's name for it is "partial 16S ribosomal RNA". It matches the Rfam family "Bacterial small subunit ribosomal RNA", at positions 524 to 776 of the family's 1533-position model. The record is from RNAcentral.